This is a non-coding RNA of Dipodomys ordii (Ord's kangaroo rat), 70 nucleotides long. The record is from Rfam. Lineage: Eukaryota; Metazoa; Chordata; Mammalia; Rodentia; Heteromyidae.
GGGAAUGUGACUCAGUGGUAGAGUGCUUGCCUAGCAUGCAUGAAGCCCUGGGUUCGAUUUCUUAGUACCA